UAUUUUCGUGCGGCAGAGGAGUGGCUGCGCGCGCAGCCUGAACGGCCGCCGUUUCAUGAAAGCCGGCACAGUACAUUGGUAACAGGUGGUCCACGUUGAUUGGUCGAGCGACGGGAAUCGAAGAAGUCCCCUUCGACAGCACGUGCGGCCGGUGGCGCAUUUACACGGCGGACGUGAACGCGCGCGUAUCGCUCCGUCUUCUCAUCACGGAAGUCCACCUUACCGAUCGAAGGUCAGCGACGAAGCUGCUGUCGAAAGCUUACAUUGCGAGCUUGCUUCCGUGAGCGCGAAACCUUCCCUAUUGGUGGCCCGAUACGUUCGUAGGUGCACGGGUGUUGGCUAUCGAUCCCUGCUGUCCCGAUUUCCUGCAUGUUCAUUGGCGCCUCGGUUGCUAACAGUGCGUCGUAUGGUACAGUGCGGGCUCCGUUCGAUCAGUGGUGUGGCCUUACUGUUACGCUUAAGAUAUUUGUGCAAUUAUACUCGUUUCCACGGGGUGAUUUUCUCCCGUUCCACGUUGGACCGAAAGUGUACACCAUAAACAUCCUUCGCAGAUCGUAUCCGUGAACAAUGGAUAGACGAGGCGAGAUCGCGUCAGCGUUCUGAUGAUCUUUAACUCCCAUGGGCAGACAGUGCGAUCCAUCGACCGGCAGCAGAACCACUAGGAAAGACCAAGGAAGCCUAUCAUGGAAUUCUACGACGUGGGAACCAGCGACCUUAGGGAGUUGUGGGAGUCUUACCUCUCCGAGACGGUGAGUACCGUAAAACUUCUGUGUUCGCUUCUCGUUCCCGCCGAAUAAACGCGACGUUACACCGUUUCUCUCGCGCCAUCUUCAUUCCCAUCGUGAAAGUGCUAGUUUUCGAUCGGCCCAACGAAAGGAAACGACGCUCCGCGGGCGUUGGAAAAAUGGACAACACUGCAAUUGUUCCCCUUGGCGUCCAUUGUUCUUCCAAGGGACUCGCUAUUCAAUUCCGGAGUUGGAAUUACACGUUGAAUUUUUUUCUCUAGUCGAAUAAUCGCCUUGGAGUUUUCUUCGGGAGUCAAUUUUUCCUUCAGUGGAAUUCUCCAUCUUGUCUCAUUCGAUCGUUUAUAUAUUAAUUACACAUCGAAGAGUAAUCAUGGCGACGGUGAUUCUCGUAUCGCGGGGAACCUUUGUGUGGUCUUUGAUAAAAUUCGAUACCACGUGUGUCGCAAUUUCGUAACCCACCUAAUUAAACAUCGUACCAGCAGCCAUAGUAACAGCGAAACGUUCGCUACAAUUAUUUUCGAAAGAGGCACGUGCGUUACCUGCGCCCCGAGCUCUCCUCCAUUACGGUUCAGUUACGCUCGGCAAACACAACGAAACGAACAUUCUUCAAGUCUGUACCAAGUAUUCAUCUGCUGUAACCAUGGGAGAAGUCCAGCGCUCGAGCGUAAACGCUCCGCGUAUUAGCGUCAGUUUAUUCACCUGUAUAAACAAACGUCGUCUAAAGGAGGCCUACAUUGCCAUCUCUUAACCAUCGAGGAACCACGCGUGUAGUACAAGGGUUACGCUCGGUAAUUAACGCAUUUCAGAAGUGUGUUGAUAAUAAUUAUCAACGCUUAUAAAUGUGCCUGAGAAAUCGUAGUUGAACGUAAAUCUUGUAGUAGGAUGUUCUCGUUGACUUUGUUGUUAAACUAUCGACACGUUUGAGUGCUUUCAUGAUUGUCAACACAUGUAAUUAUUUAAGAAUUAAGAGGCAUAGAAGGUACGAAGACUUAUGGGAGUAUACUGACAUUUUCUUGGAAUGUUUGUAUGAUGGCCAUUAAAGUCUAAAUUGAAUGAUGGGUUAGAUGUUCCUAAAUAAAUUAUUUGUUAUAAAUAUAUACACGAGUAAGAUUUAUUUAUGUACAUAUUUAUAACGAAAUAUUGAUUUAGGACCAUCGUACCUAUCAUUUAAUUUGGACUCAUUUCUUCAAUAAACAUAAAGCAGAACAUAUAACUGCAUGGGUGUAUCAACUAUUUAAUUAAAAUUAACGUAAGGUUUGUUUAUGUACAUAUUUAUAACGAAAUAUUUAUUUAGGGCCAUCGUACCUAUCAUUUAAUUUAGACUCAUUUCUUCAAUAAGCAUAGAGGGCACAUAUAACUGCAUUGGUGUAUCAACUAUUUAAUUAAAAUUCGAUUCGUUAAUUGUCUGUCCCAUAUCAUGUUUGAAAAUAUAUAUUCACUCGUCAGAUAUGUGCAAUCACGUCCAUUCGGUUGCGUCAUUAAUAUCGCAUUUACGGUCGUAUUAGUCACUUUUAAUAUGCCCCCCUCGAGCCCGUAAUCGCUUUACCAUUUACUAUGUAAUUACUAUUUAGCGACCCCAACGGUGUUCCCUCUUAUCGAAUAUUCAUCGCCAUAAUUUCCUUACCCCCUUGACCCGUCGAUCCCUUUUACGGUGAUUCUUAACGACGGUGUCUUUCCGAGCACAAAAUUACCGCUCGGUGUAAUUGCAACGGCAAUUUUUAUUUAUAACCCCCUCCCCUCAGCAUCGAUAAAAGGGUAUCGUACUGGAUCGGUGAAUAUUCAAAUUCCCGACCGUGAAGCUGACAUAGGAACGAAAAUAUAAAUAAACUACGCAUCUAAAAAAAAAAAGAAAUAA
This is a long non-coding RNA of Hylaeus anthracinus, 2601 nucleotides long. RefSeq lists it as uncharacterized. The record is from RefSeq and is a predicted model, not a curated record. Lineage: Eukaryota; Metazoa; Arthropoda; Insecta; Hymenoptera; Colletidae. The transcript is spliced from 2 exons.